AGAGUUUGAUCCUGGCUCAGGAUGAACGCUAGCUACAGGCUUAACACAUGCAAGUCGAGGGGAAACGAUAUUGGAAGCUUGCUUCCGAUAGGCGUCGACCGGCGCACGGGUGAGUAACGCGUAUCCAACCUGCCCACCACUUGGGGAUAACCUUGCGAAAGUAAGACUAAUACCCAAUGAUAUCUCUAGAAGACAUCUGAAAGAGAUUAAAGAUUUAUCGGUGAUGGAUGGGGAUGCGUCUGAUUAGCUUGUUGGCGGGGUAACGGCCACCAAGGCGACGAUCGAGUAGGGGUUCUGAGAGGAACGGUCCCCCANAUUGGAACUGAGACACGGUCCAAACUCCUACGGGAGGCA
RNAcentral lists this ribosomal RNA (354 nucleotides) under uncultured bacterium. Its description in RNAcentral is "bacterial SSU rRNA". It matches the Rfam family "Bacterial small subunit ribosomal RNA", at positions 8 to 350 of the family's 1533-position model. The record is from RNAcentral.